This is a long non-coding RNA of Gadus macrocephalus (Pacific cod), 969 nucleotides long. RefSeq lists it as uncharacterized. The record is from RefSeq and is a predicted model, not a curated record. NCBI's taxonomy places the organism in Eukaryota, Metazoa, Chordata, Actinopteri, Gadiformes, Gadidae. The transcript is spliced from 3 exons.
GAAGCAGAGCCCAAGUGUAAAUGAGUUUUAUUUCAUAUGCAAUUAAAAAAAUGAAGUACAACAUCUCCCUUUACAAAUAUACAGGGGGAACGCAUCUUAACCCCACCUCAGUGCUCACAACAGCCAUCGUUAACACCUAAAUGGGCAGGGACAGAGCAGAGACAGACAGAGGUGGAGACAGAGGGACAGAGACAGAGAGAGACAGAGGUGGAGACCGAGCAGAGACCGAGAUAGAGGGACUGACUGAUGUAGAGACGGCGAAAACGAGUGAAAGUACAUCCCUAGAUAAAACUUCACAAUGGCCUCCGACAUACAUUGACGGACAGCAAUUCAUAACAGGACAACACGAGAGACACUCAGAGUAAGACAGAGAUGUGAAGCAGUCCAAUCCUCAGACCGUCAUCUCCAGCGCAACCUAACAAUCUUCCUAAAAAUCUAAAAAACAAAUUUGCCAUGAGAAAACCAAACAGUGCCUUAUUUAAUUCUGUCCUGUAUUGGGACUCUAAUUAGGUUUUAGUGCUUUCCUACCCUCUCGGUCGUUGAAAGCAUAAACUAAUACAUUCAAUCUGGAAAUUCUCAAAAUGGUUGUACAUCAGAUUGUAUAUUUUAGAGGUAGAUAGGUAUAGGGUAUGUUUUUAUUUUCCUUAACCUUUUGAGUAUAUUGUAUGACUCAAACACUUCAAACCAAACUUUUGCUGAGUCAAAGGUUGGGGCACACCUCAUUGGUGGGGGAGCGGCGCACCACAGGCCGCUAAAGUCGGUCCCCUUUAGUUUAGCCAACCACUACGUUGCUUCUGCCCAAUCAUGUGAUGGAAUCACCAUCAGCUAACGGUCAUUUUUCUUUCCUAAAUACAGACCUAAACUGGCAGUGAUGGUGACAAAACACGGCUCCUCAAAGGGCCAGGGCUGAGGUGAUCAAGCGAGAUGAGCAACAGAUCAGAUCAGAGACGGAUGGACGGAGGAGUAGCA